UACGUAGGGUCCGAGCGUUGUCCGGAAUUAUUGGGCGUAAAGAGCUCGUAGGCGGUUUGUCGCGUCUGCUGUGAAAACCUGAGGCUCAACCUCGGGCUUGCAGUGGGUACGGGCAGACUAGAGUGCGGUAGGGGUGACUGGAAUUCCUGGUGCAGCGGUGGAAUGCGCAGAUAUCAGGAGGAACACCGAUGGCGAAGGCAGGUCACUGGGCCGCAACUGACGCUGAGGAGCGAAAGCAUGGGGAGCGAACAGG
This 253-nucleotide ribosomal RNA is filed under the name uncultured bacterium. RNAcentral's name for it is "partial 16S ribosomal RNA". It matches the Rfam family "Bacterial small subunit ribosomal RNA", at positions 524 to 776 of the family's 1533-position model. The record is from RNAcentral.